UCGUAACAAGGUCUCCGUUGGUGAACCAGCGGAGGGAUCAUUACCGAGUUUACAACUCCCAAACCCCUGUGAACAUACCACUUGUUGCCUCGGCGGAUCAGCCCGCUCCCGGUAAAACGGGACGGCCCGCCAGAGGACCACUAAACUCUGUUUCUAUAUGUAACUUCUGAGUAAAACCAUAAAUAAAUCAAAACUUUCAACAACGGAUCUCUUGGUUCUGGCAUCGAUGAAGAACGCAGCAAAAUGCGAUAAGUAAUGUGAAUUGCAGAAUUCAGUGAAUCAUCGAAUCUUUGAACGCACAUUGCGCCCGCCAGUAUUCUGGCGGGCAUGCCUGUUCGAGCGUCAUUUCAACCCUCAAGCACAGCUUGGUGUUGGGACUCGCGUUAAUUCGCGUUCCCCAAAUUGAUUGGCGGUCACGUCGAGCUUCCAUAGCGUAGUAGUAAAACCCUCGUUACUGGUAAUCGUCGCGGCCACGCCGUUAAACCCCAACUUCUGAAUGUUGACCUCGGAUCAGGUAGGAAUACCCGCUGAACCUAAGCAUAUC
RNAcentral lists this unclassified non-coding RNA (544 nucleotides) under Fusarium oxysporum. Its description in RNAcentral is "sequence contains 18S rRNA gene, ITS1, 5.8S rRNA gene, ITS2, 28S rRNA gene". The stretch from base 192 to 345 matches the Rfam family "5.8S ribosomal RNA". Lineage: Eukaryota; Fungi; Ascomycota; Sordariomycetes; Hypocreales; Nectriaceae. The record is from RNAcentral.